AUGGAAAACAUCAAAGGAGGUGAAACCCAAGAGCUUCCAAGAUACAGUGGGAGGAUUGCCUUGAAGGACAGAGAUGACAUUCCUAUACUGGAUAGAGCUAUGACUUUGGCCAGAGCCAAAAAUCUAGCUCUAUCUGAAGGGAGGACGCAAAACUGGAGCUGCAACAGGGCGCAAAGCUGCUGGAGCGAGUCGCGAGUGACAUCUUCCAGGCGCGAAGGAGCUGGGCAUCUUGGGUUCCAAGGAUCGAAGAUUGAUUCAAAAUUAGUGGACUAUAGAGAGUUUUGCUUGCUUAGAUGUUUUGUUCAGGCUGUGUCUGGUCUAGCUGAGUUCCUUGUGGGUGAUGCUCACAUAGGAACCUUUUCUCCUUAA
RNAcentral lists this ribosomal RNA (369 nucleotides) under Triticum aestivum (bread wheat). RNAcentral describes it as "partial small subunit ribosomal RNA". Lineage: Eukaryota; Viridiplantae; Streptophyta; Magnoliopsida; Poales; Poaceae. The record is from RNAcentral.